UUUCUGUUACUUUUGGAUGGCUUUCCCCUAAAGAGCCAUAUGAAGAAGACAAAAAGGAUCCAUCAAACACAUUAGAUGUGUCAUCAUAGUGGUCUCUGACAUCAUAGUGGUCUCUGACAUCAUAAUGGUCUCUGACAUCAUAGUGGUCUCUGACUUGUGGUCAGACUCGCUCAGGGGUAACAAAUUGGCACCUUUUUUCAACGCUGAAUUGAAUGUCAUUUUCGAAAACAGAAAGAUAACAUGUACUCGGUGACUCCCCAAUCCUGGCUAUCUUUACUGUCUCUCUGUCUGUCAGCUGCCAACUGAGGAGACCAUACAUAUCAGGUAUCCUCAGAAAUGAACAUUUUCCUAAUUAGGAACUGUUAAUUACACUUUUGGACUAAUGGCCUUAAUUACCAGAACAUAAUUUGCUUUCAGAUUCACAACAUACCUCCCUGAUUUAGACAAUGAUCUGUUUAGUAAACAAUACGACUUAAUUGCAUACAUUUGCAUAAACAAAUGAACUAAUUAAUUACAAUUAAGCUCAUCCCGAUGAGUCUGUGUACAAUUAGAGUCUUCUUAUCCCUGGAGUGAGACCUCACACAACACGUUACGCACAAGAGUGUGUGUGUGUGAGCACAAGAUGGUGAGAAAACAUAACCAAUGCAUUCUGUGAAGACUGACUUCGUCAUUUUUCCUUUCUUUUCUCCUCCUUCCCUCUCUUGUUCUUUCGGGUUUGGAGAUGGAGGGACCUCUCCCCUCCUUUUCUGUGUCGGAAUUUAAUAUGCAACUUUUUAUUGGAAAACAAUUGCGCGUGCCUGCGUGAAUCCUGACCGCAAUAUAUCUGUUAGCGCCCCUAAUCCGAUCAGUACAGGGAGGGCUAUUUAUCACCGCAGAUCCAGGGCAUUUCAGCCUUCUUUUUAUUAUUUUAAUAUAUUUCUGAGCUAUUAAAUCACUAAAUGAUGAAUUAGGGCUGUCCGCCACCCUUUCACCAGCUUGACAGAAAAUGAUGCACUACCCAAUUUGAGUGGUCAUUUGGACUUUUAAAGACAAAAAAUGAGCAAAGAAAAAGUCCAAUACUUUUCAGUUUUCUAUUUUUUUUCUUUCCCACCCCCUCUGUGCCUUUCAACUGGGUGUUUCUUAAUAAUACUGCUUAUUUGGGCUUUAUUGCCAUGUUAGUGAGGGCAGCACCAAAACUAUCUUCAAUAUUCAGCCAAUUACUAAACACACACACACAAACACACACAAUCUCAAGACAAAUAGCACACACACACUCUGUAUUUCUCUGUACUGCUUUGUUUCCUUUCACACUUGUGAAUACAUGCAUUGAUUCACUUGGUACACACCACACCAUCACAUCAGCAUGAUCUGUUCAUGCUUUGAUUUCAACCAGUUGAAACAACUUUUCAUUUUAUUGUCUGAUGAUGCGAUUUAAACACCUUGCUGGAGAUGAAGCUGAGUGUCUACAUACAACCCAUACUUUCCCAUUCAUGUUCAGACAUUUCCCACAGAACAAUUGUUAUACAUAGCUAAUAAAGGUUAUAUCCUGCCUGUUUGGCCCUGUCCUGGGGUAUCGUCGGACGGGGCCACAGUGUCUCCCGACCCCUCCUGUCUCAGCCUCCAGUAUUUAUGCUGCAAUAGUUUACGUGUCGGGGGGCUAGGGUCAGUCUGUUAUAUCUGGAGUAUUUCUCCUGUCUUAUCCGGUGUCCUGUGUGAAUUUAAGUAUGCUCUCUCUAAUUCUCUCUCUCUUAUGCUCUCUGUCUCUUUCUUUCUCUUUCUCGGAGGGCCUGAGCCCUAGGACCCAUGCCUCAGGACUACCUGACCUGAUGACUCCUUGCUGUCCCCAGUCCACCUGGUCGUGCUGCUGCUCCAGUUUCAACUGUUCAGCCUGCGGCUAUGGAACCCUGACCUGUUCACCGGACGUGCAACCUUGUCCCGGACUGUUUUCAACUCUCCAGAGACAGCAGGAGCGGUAGAGAUACUCUGAAUGAUCGGCUAUGAAAAGCCAACUGACAUUUACUCCUGAGGUGCUGACCUGUUGCACCCUCGACAACCACUUUGAUUAUUAUUAUUUGACCCUGCUGGUCAUCUUUGAACAUUUGAACAUCUUGGCCAUGUUCUGUUAUAAUCUCCACCCGGCACAGCUAGAAGAGGACAGGCCACCCCUCAUAGCCUGGUUCCUCUCUAGGUUUCUUCUUAGGUUCCGGCCUUUCUAGGGAGUUUUACCUAGCCACCGUGCUUCUACACCUGCAUUGCUUGCUGUUUGGGGUUUUAGGCUGGGUUUCGGUACAGCACUUUGGGACAUCACUUGAUGUUAGAAGGGCUUUAUAAAUACAUUUGAUUGAUUGAUAAACUCAAUUUAAGUCAUCAAAUGUAUCAUUCACAUGGUCUUGUUUGCAGUACCACAUUUCUGUAAUUUACCGGAUUCCAUCAUAACGUAACCCUCAUCUGGUUUAACCUGCUCAUUUUUGUCUAGCCUCUAUAAUCACUGUCAUUAUUAACAGACCGUUUAGUUUAUGCACAGGUGGCUCCAGUGGAUUUGGUUGGUUUCAAGGCCUGAGUCACUAUUCAGAUCAUCACAAACAAGAUCUUUUAAAUUCUUCUUAUUCUCUUCUCUCUCAUUCUACUCUUUUUAUUAUUUCACUCUUCUCUCUCAUUCUAAUCUUUAUUAUUUCACUCGUCUGUCUGUCUGUCUGUCUGUCUGUCUGUCUGUCUGUCUGUCUGUCUGUCUGUCUGUCUGUCUGUCUGUCUGUCUGUCUGUCUGUCUGUCUGUCUGUCUGUCUGUCUGUCUGUCUGUCUGUGUAGCAGUUCUGGGAUUGGGGCAGUUCUGCUCCAGCCCAGUAGAGGGCGUUGGUGUGGCCAUGUCACAAUGAGGGAGUCGUCCCCUGCCACCCUACUCAGGGACAGCUGUCUCUCCCCUCCGACCACCCCCAGGAGUCCUCACACCAAUCAGCCCUACCCAGCCAGAAUCAAUUAGCACCGGGAGGGGGGUGGACGAGAUGGGGGAGAGGGGGGCAAGGACCCACAGAGGACGACUGUCCCCACACAUGGCCCUGUCUCUGGACACUGUCUCACUCCAGCACCCCCAAAGCCUCCACGCAGCACCUCGCCUCACUUUCCUGUGAUCCAACCUCCUCUCUCUCUUUCAGUCCUCUCCCUCUCCUCCCUGAUCCCUUCCAUCUGUUCUCCUCGUCUCUUCCCCCUGUUCUAUCACUACUGUAUCUUAUCUUCCCUCUCUUUUGAUCUUAUUUUUCUCAUCCAUCUUUUCAAUGGUUUACAAUCUCCUUAUUUCAUCCUUCCCCCCAUCUCUGUCUUCAUUAAUAAUGGUAUGAAAGAGGAAAAUAUUAUGAGAGGGGAGAGAUGAAACUGAAGUAUAGAGUCAGAGUGUGGACCUCAUGAAUUACCUGAGAUGAGAGGAAGACUUGAGGACAGCAGAGGAGUGAACAUGAGAGAGAUGGCUUAAGGAACACUUGGUCUUUAUUGCUGCUGAAAGUACAAUUGAAACCAGUUAAAGAUGUGUGUUAAUAAAUGUUAAAUCGUCUUUCAGAGCACAGCUAGAGGGCCUGGAGUCGCCUCUCUUAUUGCUUACCCAUCCGCCCAGCUUCCUCCUCUUUCCAUCUCUCUGUCCAUCUCUGGCUCUCUCACUCCACCGUCUAUCUUUCCUCUCCUCUUCCAUUCUCACUUUGGCCCAUCUCUCUCUCUCUCUCUCUCUCUCUCUCUCUCUCUCUCUCUCUCAGAAAGCGAGGGAUGAAUAAUUUAGCUUGUAAAGGGACUUCCAGAAUUCCUCCAUAUCCAUUCCUUGAUUUAUUUUACCUCAGUAAUAUGUUCCUAUGUGUUGCAUCC
This 3822-nucleotide long non-coding RNA is filed under the name Salmo salar (Atlantic salmon). RNAcentral describes it as "lncRNA (ENSSSAG00000119364.1)". The record is from RNAcentral. Lineage: Eukaryota; Metazoa; Chordata; Actinopteri; Salmoniformes; Salmonidae.